GGCGCCAUAGCCAAGUGGUAAGGCAGAAGUCUGCAAAACUUCCACCCCCGGUUCAAAUCCGGGUGGCGCCUCCA
This 74-nucleotide transfer RNA is filed under the name Clostridium sp. RNAcentral describes it as "tRNA-Cys". It matches the Rfam family "tRNA". From Rfam's summary of the family: Transfer RNA (tRNA) molecules are approximately 80 nucleotides in length. Their secondary structure includes four short double-helical elements and three loops (D, anti-codon, and T loops). Further hydrogen bonds mediate the characteristic L-shaped molecular structure. tRNAs have two regions of fundamental functional importance: the anti-codon, which is responsible for specific mRNA codon recognition, and the 3' end, to which the tRNAs corresponding amino acid is attached (by aminoacyl-tRNA synthetases). tRNAs cope with the degeneracy of the genetic code in two manners: having more than one tRNA (with a specific anti-codon) for a particular amino acid; and 'wobble' base-pairing, i.e. permitting non-standard base-pairing at the 3rd anti-codon position. Lineage: Bacteria; Bacillati; Bacillota; Clostridia; Eubacteriales; Clostridiaceae. The record is from RNAcentral.